ACUAUUACAACAAGAUCAUCGAUGAUUUGUUAACAAUUGGGGUCACGCCCAUAGUGACCCUCUAUCACUUUGAUUUGCCUCAGGCCUUGGAAGACCAAGGAGGUUGGUUGUCAGAGGCAAUCGCUGAAUCCUUCGACAAAUAUGCCCGGUUUUGCUUCAGUACAUUUGGGGAUCGAGUCAAGCAGUGGAUCACUAUAAAUGAGCCUAAUAUUUUUGCCCUGCUGGCAUAUGAGUGUGGUGCAUUUUCUCCUGGUGUGCCUUACGUUGGAACUAAAGUUUCUCAAGCAGCUCAUAAUUUGAUUAAAGCUCAUGCCAGAUCCUGGCACAGCUAUGAAUCCUUAUUCUGAAAAGAGCAGAAAGGAAUGGUGUCUCUCUCAAUUUUUGCUGGCUGGGUGGAACCAGCAGAUCCCAACUCAGUGUCUGACCAGGAAGCAGCUAAAAGCCAUGGCUUUCCAGUUGGAUUUCUUUGCUAAGCCCAUAUUUAUUGACGGCGAUUAUCCUGAAGUUGUCAAGUCGCAGGUUGCCCUCAUGAGUAAAAAACAAGGUUUUCCAUCGUCCAGGCUUCAAGAAUUUACAGAAGAAGAGAAGAAAAUGAUCAAAGGCACUGCUGAUUUCUUUGCUGUGCAGAAUUAUAUGACUUGCUGAGUCAAGUACCAGGAGAACAAGAAAGGAGAACUGGGUUUACUCCAGAAUGCGGAAGUUGAAGUUUUUCGAGACCCAUCUUGUAUAAGUUUGGACUGGGUCUAUGUGGUGCCAUGGGGAAUACGUAAACUACUGAAAUACAUUAAGGAUAUGUAUAAUAACCCUGUAAUUUACAUCACAGAGAAUGGGUUUCCCCAGGGUGACCCGACAUCUUUUGAUGAUGCUCUGCGCUAGGAGUAUUUCAGACAGACAUUUCAGGAGCUGUUCAAAGGCUUUGAGAGCUGAGAGGAACCAUGGAAAUCGUCGAGUCCAUCCUUCGUGUUUCAUGGAUUAAAAGCGA
This is a long non-coding RNA of Eubalaena glacialis (North Atlantic right whale), 982 nucleotides long. RefSeq lists it as uncharacterized. Lineage: Eukaryota; Metazoa; Chordata; Mammalia; Artiodactyla; Balaenidae. The record is from RefSeq and is a predicted model, not a curated record. The transcript is spliced from 3 exons.